GUGUUCACUUCAGCAGCAUAUAUACUAAAAUUAGAAUGAUACAGAGAAAAUUAGCAUGGCCCAUGCGCAAGGAUGACAUGCAAAUUCAUGAAGCAUUCUGUAUUUUU
Dipodomys ordii (Ord's kangaroo rat) is the source of this 107-nucleotide small nuclear RNA. NCBI's taxonomy places the organism in Eukaryota, Metazoa, Chordata, Mammalia, Rodentia, Heteromyidae. The record is from Ensembl.